AUUUAAAUAGUACAAAUAAAGUACAUUUAGUUUCCAACUAAAAAAUUAAAAAACUUAUUUAAAUA
RNAcentral lists this transfer RNA (65 nucleotides) under Prosevania sp. ZJUH_2016031. RNAcentral describes it as "tRNA-Gly". The record is from RNAcentral. Lineage: Eukaryota; Metazoa; Arthropoda; Insecta; Hymenoptera; Evaniidae.